This 358-nucleotide unclassified non-coding RNA is filed under the name soil metagenome. RNAcentral describes it as "partial contains 5.8S ribosomal RNA, internal transcribed spacer 2, and large subunit ribosomal RNA". The stretch from base 1 to 120 matches the Rfam family "5.8S ribosomal RNA", at positions 35 to 154 of the family's 154-position model. The record is from RNAcentral.
GAUGAAGAACGCAGCGAAAUGCGAUAAGUAAUGUGAAUUGCAGAAUUCAGUGAAUCAUCGAAUCUUUGAACGCACAUUGCGCCCGUCAGUAUUCUGGCGGACAUGCCUGUUCGAGCGUCAUUACGCCCCUCAAGUCCCCUGUGGACUUGGUGCUGGGGAUCGGCGAGGCUGGUUUUCCAGCACAGCCGUCCCUUAAAUUAAUUGGCGGUCUCGCCGUGGCCCUCCUCUGCGCAGUAGUAAAACACUCGCAACAGGAGCCCGGCGCGGUCCACUGCCGUAAAACCCCCCAACUUUUUAUAGUUGACCUCGAAUCAGGUAGGACUACCCGCUGAACUUAAGCAUAUCAAUAAGCGGAGGA